Molecule: ribosomal RNA, 614 nt
Filed under: uncultured yeast
Lineage: Eukaryota; Fungi
Description: eukaryotic LSU rRNA
Rfam family: Eukaryotic large subunit ribosomal RNA
Source: RNAcentral
GCAUAUCAAUAAGCGGAGGAAAAGAAACCAACCGGGAUUGCCUUAGUAACGGCGAGUGAAGCGGCAAAAGCUCAAAUUUGAAAUCUGGUACCUUCGGUGCCCGAGUUGUAAUUUGGAGAGGGCAACUUUGGGGCCGUUCCUUGUCUAUGUUCCUUGGAACAGGACGUCAUAGAGGGUGAGAAUCCCGUGUGGCGAGGAGUGCGGUUCUUUGUAAAGUGCCUUCGAAGAGUCGAGUUGUUUGGGAAUGCAGCUCUAAGUGGGUGGUAAAUUCCAUCUAAAGCUAAAUAUUGGCGAGAGACCGAUAGCGAACAAGUACAGUGAUGGAAAGAUGAAAAGAACUUUGAAAAGAGAGUGAAAAAGUACGUGAAAUUGUUGAAAGGGAAGGGCAUUUGAUCAGACAUGGUGUUUUGUGCCCUCUGCUCCUUGUGGGUAGGGGAAUCUCGCAUUUCACUGGGCCAGCAUCAGUUUUGGUGGCAGGAUAAAUCCAUAGGAAUGUAGCUUGCCUCGGUAAGUAUUAUAGCCUGUGGGAAUACUGCCAGCUGGGACUGAGGACUGCGACGUAAGUCAAGAUGCUGGCAUAAUGGUUAUAUGCCGCCCGUCUUGAAACACGGACC